This 460-nucleotide ribosomal RNA is filed under the name uncultured bacterium. RNAcentral's name for it is "partial 16S ribosomal RNA". It matches the Rfam family "Bacterial small subunit ribosomal RNA", at positions 338 to 795 of the family's 1533-position model. The record is from RNAcentral.
CCUACGGGAGGCAGCAGUGAGGUAUAUUGGUCAAUGGACGCAAGUCUGAACCAGCCAUGCCGCGUGCAGGAAGACGGCUCUAUGAGUGGUAAACUGCUUUUGUACAAGGGUAAAUCCCGAUACGUGUAUCUGUUUGAAAGUAUCGUACGAAUAAGGAUCGGCUAACUCCGUGACAGCAGUCGCGGUAAUACGGAGGAUUCAAGCGUUAGCCGGAUUUAUUGGGUGUAAAGGGUGCGUAGGCGGUGCGAUAAGUUAGAGGUGAAAUCCCGGGGCUCAACUCCGGCACUGCCUCUGAUACUGUCGGGCUAGAGUUUAGUUGCGGUAGGCGGAAUGUAUGGUGUAGCGGUGAAAUGCAUAGAGAUCAUACAGAACACCGAUUGCGAAGGCAGCUUACCAAACUACGACUGACGUUGAGGCACGAAAGCGUGGGGAGCAAACAGGAUUAGAUACCCGUGUAGUC